GUGGGGAAUUUUGGACAAUGGGCGCAAGCCUGAUCCAGCAAUGCCGCGUGCAGGAAGAAGGCCUUCGGGUUGUAAACUGCUUUUGUACGGAACGAAACGGUCCGGGUUAAUACCCUGGGCUAAUGACGGUACCGUAAGAAUAAGCACCGGCUAACUACGUGCCAGCAGCCGCGGUAAUACGUAGGGUGCAAGCGUUAAUCGGAAUUACUGGGCGUAAAGCGUGCGCAGGCGUUUUUGUAAGACAGGCUUGAAAUCCCCGGGCUCAACCUGGGAAUUGCGCUUGUGACUGCAAGGCUGGAGUGCGGCAGAGGGGGAUGGAAUUCCGCGUGUAGCAGUGAAAUGCGUAGAUAUGCGGAGGAACACCGAUGGCGAAGGCAAUCCCCUGGGCCUGCACUGACGCUCAUGCACGAAAGCGUGGGGAGCAAACAGGAUUAGAUACCCGAGUAGUCC
This 450-nucleotide ribosomal RNA is filed under the name uncultured bacterium. RNAcentral's name for it is "partial 16S ribosomal RNA". It matches the Rfam family "Bacterial small subunit ribosomal RNA", at positions 354 to 796 of the family's 1533-position model. The record is from RNAcentral.